AACACAAAAUGGCGACACGUGGUUAGCAUUCGUCGCCAACGAGAAAUUGGGGUCGGCCCGAAAGCUCUAGAAUGCACCCCUAUUCCUCCCCGGGGCCAUUCCCGCUCAACGAGUUUUAUGACCUAAAAAACCCCACAGGCUGGUCUGAAGAGGAAGACACUUAAAGAUGAAGUGCUUAAUUCAAGGUCACAGAAUGUCGGGGAUGGACCUCCAGAUUUCCUUACUGGAAAACAAGCUCAGGGCUCCCACUGAUUGUACAUUAUGAGACAGAGUCUUCUUGCUAUGUUGCCCAGGCUGGUCUUGAACUCCUAACCUCAAGCGAUCCUCCCAUCUUGGCCUCCCAGGUGUCAGGAUUACAGGCAUGUGCUAUCACACCCAACCUGAUACAUUGCCUUUAUAAAUUUUUUUUUCUUUAUUCUAAAAAACAGAAAAAACAAAACUGGAUACAUGUGCAGAACAUGCAGACCAAGUGUGUUGGGGACUUGAGAUAUGUACAUGAGUGUUUGUGAUGUUUCCUGGUGAAAGCACAGGUGAGACGUGGUCUUGUAACACAGUGGUUAAGAAUGUGACUUUGGAGCCAGCCUGCUAGGGGCUGAAUUCUGACUCAGCCAUUUAUUAACUGUGUGACCUUAGGUCAUAGAAUUUUCCACACUCCUUGACGGAGGUUCUUAACCCUUAUCCAUCAGCAUUCUCAGACAGCACCUCCGGUUAGGGACAGUAUCUGACCGUCCGACAUCCCUGCAGCCCCCAUGCUGUCACACAGACUCAGCCUCAGGUAGAUGGUUUCCGUAGAUGGUGGCUUUCUUUGGACCCUUGAUAUCAACCAGUUACUAUUUGACUCUUCUGCAGAACCCCAUGUUGACCCCUGCUUUGAGGUGGCAGCGUUAACACUACUCUUUGUUAUAAGCUCUCGUCUGGGGCAACUCAGGAGAACGGGACCAGAUGUGCAGAGGUAAUGAAUACCAGGGAAUCAGGAAACCACUGGAUCAGUUCUUUGAGCCAUAGAACAACACUCAUCCCAGCAGCUGGGAAGCUAUCUGCAAAAGUCCAUCUGCAGAAAGGGCUUCCUGGUCUUGCGUGUGGCUGGGCCAUUUCUCUGGAUGCAGGUUUUUCAUUAUACAGUCUUCUCAAAGGACCACCUGCUCUCAACACC
RNAcentral lists this non-coding RNA (1153 nucleotides) under Pongo abelii (Sumatran orangutan). Lineage: Eukaryota; Metazoa; Chordata; Mammalia; Primates; Hominidae. The record is from RNAcentral.